Molecule: long non-coding RNA, 28653 nt
Filed under: Brassica rapa (field mustard)
Lineage: Eukaryota; Viridiplantae; Streptophyta; Magnoliopsida; Brassicales; Brassicaceae
Description: long non-coding RNA (BRAP_LNC006595)
Source: RNAcentral
CCUUUGAAGUAACUAGCUCCCAAGACUUGAGCUUGGUUGAUGGUCGACUUACAGCCCUUUUUGUUCUGUCCCAGGUCUAGAUCACGGUAGUUGACGUAGGCUUGUCGUGGAUUCGCCGAGACAUAAGGAGUCAUGAAACUGUAGAUAUCUCUGAUCCAUUUGAUGUGCCUGCUUGCUAUCAUGUCACUGUCUGGCCAAUUCGUUACGUAAUGAAUCUUGAAUAUGACUCCUUUCCUAUGCGGAAACGGGAUCUGUGAUUCAGGGGUUUUCGCCAUCAUUCCUCCGUAAGGAUUCCAUAUCAUCAUUGGAUUAUCUUCUUUAAGCAACUUCUUGAAGAUCCCUUUAAGCCCUGACUCAGGAAUAGGCUUCUUCACGAAGUCGGAUUUGGCUUUGAAGUUGUUCUUUGGGAAAGCUGACUUCCCUUGAAGCAAUACCUUGGUAGGAGUGCGGCUCGCGAAUCCAGAGAUGUAAACAAUGGAUUCAAGCCAGCUCAUUUCGGUACAAUCUUUCGGCAUUAGACCUAGCUCCGGAAAGCUCUUGUUCAUAACUUUCAUCAACACACCUUUGUUGCCAAGAAACACAGUGUUAUACGACGUCGUGGCGGUCUUGCUUCCGUUGUUUGCAGCUACGUUGAAGAUCACUCGGAUGAAUAGCUCGUCGACAAGCUUGUCCGCGACCAUUUGCCACUUUGAAAGAAUCUUGUUUCCAGGGUCUUGUUGUAACGUUUUGGUGACGGUGAAGACGGUUACCGUGUUAGGAACAGGAACAAGCUUGAUCUUCCAUUCUAGAAUUAUCCUGAAACUGCCUCCAGCGCCUCCUCCAAUGGCCCAAAACAUAUCCUCGCCCAUCCCUUUUCGGUCUAGUAUUUUACCGUUGGCGUCGACGAUCUUUGUGUCUAGAACGUUAUCUGCACCGAGACCAUAUUUCCUCAUCAUGGAACCGUAUGCACCGCCGGUUAUGUGCCCGACUAUUCCUAAGCUGGAGCACAAACCGGCCGGAAAACUAUGGACUCUGCUCUUCUCUGCAAUCCUACAGGUAACAAAAAAAGUUUCUUGAUCAAAUAUACAGUCAAAAGAUAGAUCCUAGCGUCACAAUUCCAUUUUUGUCUAAAUUUCGGAAUAAACUGCUCUUUAGAUGCUAUAUUUUCUUAGUGAUCCUUCUUAAUAGUGAAAAUUUAUUUGUUGUCUUUCUAUUUACCUGUAGUAAAGUUAACCAACUGUAGCACUAGCUUGAACCCAAGCACUAUUGUCUUUAAUAUUAAUGUUGACUUUUCUCUGCUUGGACAGGUCCAGCACUAUAAAAGGUUUUUCGAUCUCCGAGACAUAAGACAAGCCUUCGUAGUCGUGACCGCCGCUUAUGACGCGCACAUGAGUUCCAAGUUUCUUGGAACAGAUGAUGGAAGCUUGGACGUGAGACUCGUGGAGCGGUUUGAAUAUGAAUCCCGGUUUAGGCAUGGACUUUGUCAAGUACCGGAGAUUCUGAGCUGUGGACUGAAGGACUUCGCUGAACAUGGAAACGUUUUUGGCAAGAGCGAAAAACGUACUUUCGAGUGGGAAAGAAACAUGCGUGUUUUUAUGGAGACAGUUUAUGAAUUGAUCUUGGAGGGAAGCUGAAGAAGUUGUUGGUGUGAUAGUGUAGAAUGAGAAAUAUAAGGCGAAAAUCAAAAGAAAAGAAAAUGCAGGGGAUGGUUUUGAAAUUCCCAUUUCUCUCUUUAAGGAAGCUCUGCUCUAUUGUUUGAUCCCAAUCUGCAAAAAUUUAGUCUAUAACUAUAUGUACUAGAUGCAUUGCUCUCGCGCAAGCGCGGGGUUGUGGACAUAGUUCUUGUUUCAUCUCAAUAUUUGCUAAGGUUAUUGUAGUUGUGAAUUUUGCGUUUUGAAUUGUUUUUCAAGUUUUUUUAUUGUUAUAGGGUUAGAGUUGUGAUGAUGAACUGUGUAUACAUUAUUCUCCACUUAUGAAGGACUAAACUGUGUUAGUAAUGUGAUUGAUAUAGUUCAUGUUGUUGUUUGCUGUGUCACUGAAACUUAUUGUUUGUUUGUCUUUUUAAUUUGUUUCUUGUACUAUUGAGAGUACAUAAAUUAUAUUAAAGUUGUUGAGAAUACCUUUUGUUUUUGGAUAUUUUUUUCUCCAGUUUAGUUGUGUAAGUUGUGUGUAUUAAGUAAUAAUUUUUAUUAUUCUUAAUAUGUUUGUUAUAUGUUUUUAUUUUAUUUUUAAACUUAUUGCUCUUACUGGACCUUUAAAACAAAUACAUUAAGAUUUAUAGAAAUAACUAUAAAAUGAGUGACAGUUCUGAGUAUUUGGGUUUUAAUGAGUUUUAAACGAAUUUAUGUAUUUUUCAUAAGAAGGCAAUAGCUUUGGCCUGUUGACAUUGGGCAUGUAAGCUAUUUUUAUAAGACAAGAGGAGUGAGCAGGUGGAGCUGUUGUUACCGCCUUUGUGUAUGUCGGGUUUGUCUCUUGUAUCUCCAGUUGUGGCUGUGUUUGUUUAUCUUUUAUUUGAUGGCUAAUAUGUAAACAAAAAUCAUUGUUAGUUGUAUUUAUCAGAGUUUAUAACUUAUUCUGCUUUUUUUUGUUUAGGUAAUUUCACUGAUCUUGGUUGUCGUUUUCGUCUUCUUCGUUGCAAAAGUAAGUUUGUAAAUUGUUAAAUAGCUGGCCAUGUAGUUUGUAUUUGUUUAGCUGACUCGAUGUAUGUGUCGUUACGAAACUCAGUUUGUAAAUUGUUAAAUAGCUGGCCGUGUAGUUUGUAUUUAUUUAGCUGACUCGAUGUAUGUGUCGUUGAGUUUUAGUUGAGGUGAUUGGUUUGGUAUAUUUGUUUUGAAGUUUAUUUUUAAGAUUAGACAAAAAAGAGAGGUGAUCAUUAAUGAUUAGUCUUUUUUGGAAUUCUAGUUUUUGGUGUUUUGAUUGUUUGGGUUGUUGUGGUUUCUUUUAAGUUAUAAAAUAAAGGUCUGUGUAAAAUUAGUUUGAUAAGUAAGGGAGAUAAAUAGACGACCACAAAAUUUGGGUAGAAAAUAUUUUUGAUUAUUGAUGUUAGCACAAUAUAGAUAAUAAUAUAAAGAGAAUUGUUUCUUACGGAUCAAUGAGAAGACGGAUAACGACUCGAGUUGUUUCUUGGCUAAGGUCAGAGCCUUGGAUAGAUUAGAUUUUUCCAACUACAUCUGCGAGUUUAAAUAUCAGUUAUGAGAACGAAACAUAUUAUAAACACAGAUGCAAUAUGAUAAUAUAUCUGGGAGUUCUAGGUUUGUGUUCGCAAUCACUUGGAAAUUGUCAAACAGUCUAAUAAUGAUAGGAGAUUGAUCUCAGGAGUACCCGUGAUGACAUUAUAAACAAUAGUUGGUUAUAUGAAACGAAUGAGGAAUGAAUGAUCAAUGAUUAGCACGAGCACCUAGCAACUUCAAAACGAUAGACUUUCAUAAUGGAACCGGCUUUCAAAGAAGGCAUGUAAUGAUUAGCACGACUGGCAAAAAUAAACCCAUGAAUCACAGAAUCUGCAAAUAAUAUUAUUUAACAAAGAAUCAGGAAAUCAAUUAAAAAAUUAUAUUAAAUAGUGUGAAAAAUCGUAGAUUAACUUACCUUUUCAUCAAGGAAGAGAACCGUGAAUCCCAUAAAUUCACUGUCUUUCUUGAAGUUCAAGGAAUCCCAUAAGCGACGAGGUUAGAGGCUAUAUGCUCUGACUUUACAACCAACACUGAGAGAUUCGAAGGUUGAGUGACGAAUGCCGGAAAUGCUGGUUUGAGGAACUGGAGAGGCAGAGAGACAUUUUCUGGAAGAUCGUUAAAGCUAAGAGGAAUCAAUGAGUUUUGUGGAGAUGCAGAUUGGGUUCAUCAAAGAUGAGAAUCAUAUAUACAUAGGACUUACAUAAAGACUACAAAUCAGGAACAUUUAAGAUCAAGCAACUUAAGAUGGGGGGAUGAAGAGUUCACCGGUGAAAAAAUAGAUUACUAACAAACACACAGCGCAAUUCUGUAACUCAGACUUGUCUAAGACAAUAAUGAAAAGAACCAUAACUCAUGUUAAACGAAGACAGUUUUCAUGUUAAACGAAGACAUUUUACAAUAUGGAAAAAAUAUAAUUGUAGUUUUUUUCAUAUAACGUGAUGAACCUCAUUUAAAAUGAAACUCAUAAUACACUUGUAGGCCUAGCCCACAGAGAAAACCGAAGAAGUAAAGGUUUCCGACCUUCAUAAAUAUAUAUUAGUUUCAGCCAUCAAUGUACAAUGUAUCCUUUAGUUUAGUGGUAUAAAUGUUGGUGUUUAUAUCUCAAUAACCCAGGUUCGAACCAGAGGCUUGACACUUUUUCACCUUUUUUAAAAGUGAAACCCACCAAAAUGCUGACGUGUCGUCUCAGGAAAGAGGAAACUGCCUCAUUAUAUUAUAGAUUUUGACAAUAUUUUUCAAAGCAAUGUCAUUUUUAAGAUGAAAAGACAUUUUUUAGGAUCAAAAGUUACAACUUUUGACAUUUAUUCGGAGAAAUUUACAUGUUUACACAUUUUGAUAACUUAUUUUUAACAAAUGCAAUUUUUAGGACCAAAAGACACAUCUUUGUACAAUUUAACAAUUUUUUUAAACCAAUGCAACUCUUAGAUGAAAAGAACAUUAUUAAGAAAAUAUAAAUUUAUACAUUUUUAAAAAUAUGUUUUUUAAAUAAUGCAACUUUUAAAAUGAAAAGACACAUUUUUACAGUGAAAAGACACAACCUUUAACAUUAAUUUGGAUUCCUAUUAUUAAUAGACAGGAAAAUGACUAUUUAUUUAAAUAUGUAUAUUUUCUCCUAGUUUUAUAAGUUAUAUUUAAACAUAUACAUAUAUAUAUAUAUAUAUAUAUUUUUUUUUUUUGAUAAAUUUCAGUUUUUUUUUAUUUUCGUUCAGAUAUGUUAAAUUGGUAAAAAUCAAUAUGUUAAUUUUCUUAAUGAGCCGAUAAAUUUAAAUAAAAUUCUAGUCAACUCAUUAUAUAUCAACUAAAAAUAUAUUUGGUUAGUAUUGUUUUAGUUUUAUAUUUGUAGGGCACACUUACGAAUAAUUUAAUUAUAUAUAUAAAUAUAUGUAUAUAUAUAACAGUUUUUUAGAAACAUAAAUAAAAAGUCAAUUAUUACUAUAUUUUAAAAAAUUUGACAAAUAUAAAAUUUUAAAAUAAAUUUACACUAAUGGUUGAUAUAUAAAUUAUUAAUUAUUACCUUAUUUAAAAAUCUUGAAUUAAACAUUUAUGAAAGGAAAUUAUACAUGUCAUCGUCAAGUGAUGCCAUGUCAUAAUUUCUUAAACCGUGUUAUCUUUUUAGUGAAAAAAUGUGCUGAUGACGUAUGUCAUAAUCACUUUUUAAAUAAUGUAUAAAAUAUUUUUCGAGAUUGUCUGAAAUAAAGGAAGAAAAAGAAACAUUGUUCCAUUUAUUCGAGCUUAUUGUAUGAUGAUACUUAUUUAAAGGGUAUUAUAUAUCACCAGCUUAGCUUCAAUAAAGAAGUGGGACGCUUUGUUCGUGUCUAAACAAGUUUUCUGGAUGAGCCUUUGUUUUAAUCUUCACCAAUCUGUUGAAAUUGUCUUUGAAGUACUUUGCUCCCCAGACUUGAGCUUGUUUGAGGCUUGUCCUUGAGUUGUUGCUGUUCUGUCCCAGGUCUAGAUCUCUGUAGUUCACAUAUGCUUGUCUUGGGUUACUUGAGACAUAAGGCGUCAUGUAAUUGUACAACUCCCUGAUCCAUUUGAUACGCAUGUCUGGUCUCUUCUCGGUGUCUGACCAGCUCCUGUAAUACAGAAUCAUGAAGCUGGUUCCACUUCUAUGCGGAAACGGGAUCUCAGAUUCAGGGAUUUUAUCCAUCAUUCCACCGUAUGGAGUCCAUACCAUUAGCGCAGCUUCUUCUUCAAGAAUCUUCUUGAUCAUCCCUUGAAGACCUAAAAUAGGAAUAGGUUCUUUAGCAAAAUCGGAUUUGGCUUUGAAGUAAACUUCUCCCAUAGGUGACUUUGCUUGAAGCAAAACUUCAGGAGGAGGAGGAGUGCUUGUCGGGAAUCCAGAGUUGUAAAUAACGGAUUCGAUCCAGUUCAUUUCUAUACAAUCCUCCUGAGUUAGUCCUAGUUCUGGAAAAUCCUUGUGCAUAACCUCCAUCAAGUUGCCUUUCUCGCCAAGAAACUGACCUAUGUAUGACAUCGCCACUGUCUUGUUUUCAUUGUUUCCAGCUAUGGUGAAGAACACGCGUAGGAGGAGAUCUUCAACAAGCUUGUCCGCAACUUGUUGCCACUUUGAAAGAAUCUUGAAUCCUGGGUCUUGGUCUAGUGUUUUGGUGACCGUGAAGACAGUUAGGGUUUGAGGAACUGGAACAAGCUUGAUCUUCCAUGACAAAAUUAUCCCGAAACUCCCUCCUGCGCCUCCUCUAAUCGCCCAAAACAUAUCCUCUCCCAUCGCGGUUCUGUCUAGUAACUUGCCGUUAGCAUCAACUAUCUUUGCGUCUAGAACGUUAUCAGCAGCAAGACCAUACUUUCUCAUCAAGGAACCGUAUGCACCGCCUGUUAUAUGCCCACCAAUGCCUAAGUUCGGGUAUAUACCUGCAGGGCAUCCAUGAAUCUUGCUCUUCUCUGAAAUUCUACAGUUGACAAGCCAAAGAUUCUAUAGUCAAAUAUUGUUUACUCUUGUGUGUGGUUACGUUUUGUCAUUGCAUAUUGUGAAGUCAAACAUAAGAGUUUUAAGUAUUUAGAAAACGUUAAAAUAACUCGUUCGAAAAAACGUUAAAUUAACAUAAUUCAACCUAUGUUUUAGUUUAUAUAUUUUUUACUUAAUUUUCUAGUUUUUUUUUAAAUUCAGAUCUGAAAUCAAACCUUUAGUUUAUCAAUGUAAUAUCAAAAUAGAACAUGAUUUUAGCUACGCGUUUUAAAAAAAAAAUUAGGUGUACAAGAUUUUGAUGAUAUUAUUAACCAAUAAUCAAUAAUCCAAAGUUUUGAGUAAGACAAAUAGUAGAUAAACCUUUUUCGGUAAUUCAGGAAUAUAAUAUUUGCUAGCCAAUUUUCAUAAUAUAUAAACGCAAACACAUAAAUAAAUUCAGUAACAAAAAAAAACAUAAAUAAAUUUGUGUUUAAAACAAAACGAGAUUUACCUGUAGUAAAGCUCACCGACUGUAGCACCAGCUUGAACCCAAACACUAUUGUCUUCAAUAUCAACAUUGAUCUCUCUCAGUUUCGACAGAUCAAUAAUUAUAAACGGUGUUUCUAUAUGUGAAACAUAGGACAAGCCUUCAAAAUCGUGACCGCCACUACAAGAAAACACGCGGAAUUCCGACGCCAAAGGCGUCGGAACUUUUUUGACAGAUUUCCGACUGAUUACCGACGAAAACAAAAUAAUUUGAAGUCGUCGGAAUUCCGUCGGCUAAUUUCGACGAAUUUCCGAGAAAACAAGGGUCGUCGGAAUAUUUCGACGACUUUUCGACGACAUUCCGAUAAAAAAUAUAACCGUUGUAGUCGUCGAAAAGUCGUCGGAAAAUUCCGACGAAUUUCCAACGACAUUCCGAUUAAAAGAUAUAACCGUUACGGUUGUCGGUAUUCCGUCGGAAUAUUCCGACGAAUUUCCAACGAACCAAGUGACCGUUGCCGACAAAUAUAUAUGACCGUUUUAUAGCCGUUUGAGAUUGGAAAAUACCGACGGAAUUCCGACGGAAUGCUUUAUCUCUGUCGGAAUUCCGUCGGAAAGUCGUCGGAUGUCCGUAAGAAAUUUCCUAUAAAUGCAGCCCCUCCUCAUUCAACUCAUUCACACCUCAUUCUCUCUUCUUUCUCUUUAGUCAUAACAAUUCCGUGAAAAUCAUGUCUUCAGGAGCUUAUUAUCGUUCGUGAAUGGAUAAACCUCAUUUGGAUCCCAACACCAAUUUGCUUACGGAAGAAUACGUUCAAGCGAUUGGAGAAUUCAUGAGGCUUGUUCAACAGCAACCGGAUGCAAAAAGUGGUAUGUUAAGAUGUCCCUGCUCUACUUGCAAUAAUAAUAAGGUUAUAAAAGAAUUUGAUGUUUGGACUCAUUUGUAUAUGAAAGGGUUUUCACGUAAUUAUAAAAUUUGGUACCUUCAUGGGGAAACUGGUUAUGAAUAUGGUAGUACUAGCGAACCUCAGCCUGUUAGUGAACUUCAGCCUGAUAUUAGGUUAGAAGAACCUAGAACGGAUAUAGAUUAUGGUGUAGGUACUGAGCAGAUGGUACAUGAUCAUUAUAGAGGGGAAUAACCAAAUCCCGAAUCUAGGAGAUUUUUUGACAUGUUGGAUGCAGGAAAACAGCCUUUGUAUCAAAAUUGUAGAGAUGGUCAUUCAGUCUUAUCAUCUGCAACUAGAUUAAUGGGUAUUAAGACAGACUAUAAUUUGGCUGAAGAAUGUAUGGAUGCGAUUACUGAUUUUGUCAAAGGUAUUCUACCUGAGGAUAACCUUGCACCGGGUUCAUUCUACGAGGUUCAGAAACCUGUAGCCGGUCUUCAACUACCGUACGAAGUGAUAGGUGUAUGUAUUGACAACUGCAUGAUCUACUGGAGAGCGGAUGAGACACAAAAUGUAUGCAAAUUUUGUGGGAAACCUCGUUAUCAGGAGACGAGGGGAAGAGUUCCGAUCCCGUUCAAAAGAAUGUGGUAUUUGCCUUUGACGGAAAGAUUGAAGAGGUUGUAUCAGUGUGAGCGCACAGCAAAAGCAAUGAGAUGGCAUGCAGAGCAUUCCACAAAUGGUGAGAUUAGACAUCCUUCAGAUGCGAAGGCUUGGAAACAUUUCCAGUCAACAUAUCCAGAAUUUGCGGAAGAGAGAAGAAAUGUUUAUCUUGGAUUAUCUACUGAUGGUUUCAGCCCGUUUGGAAAGCAUGGAAGACAGUAUUCUCUAUGGCCAGUUAUUGUGACCCCGUACAACUUACCGCCGAGCUUGUGCAUGCGACGAGAGUUUUUGUUUCUCUCAAUUCUCGUCCCCGGUCCAGAUCAUCCUAAAAGAUCACUAGAUGUGUUUCUUCAACCACUGAUAUAUGAGUUGCAACAACUAUGGGCGCAUGGUUUUGAGACAUACGAUGUUUCGUGCAAAGAAAACUUUCAGAUGCGGGCAGUACUUAUGUGGACAAUAAGUGAUUUUCCAGCAUAUGAUAUGUUAUCUGGAUGGACAACACAUGGGAAGCUAUCAUGUCCAUAUUGUCAAGAUGACACAGAUGCUUUCCAACUAAAGAACGGAAGGAAAACGUGUUGGUUUGACUAUCACAGACGAUUUCUACCACCUGAUCAUCCAUACCGCAGGAGUAAGACUUCGUUUACGAAGAACAAGCAGGUGUUUGAUGGUCCACCUGAGGAAGUUAGUGGGGAAGAUUUGUUGAAGCAGUUUAGGGAUUUUGAUGCAGAAAGGACGCCAGAUGUAGGUGGACAUGAAAACAUUCGAGUCAGUGCGGUUGGAGAGCUACAUAACUGGCACAAAAAGAGUAUUUUCUGGGAUCUGCCAUAUUAGGAGAGUCAUCUAUUGCGGCAUAAUUUAGAUGUCAUGCAUAUUGAGAAGAACUUCUUCGACAAUCUGAUGAACACAGUCCUUAACAUCCAAGGUAAAACGAAGGUUAAUUUGAAGUCAAGGUUGGAUUUAGUCGAUAUCUGUGAUCGUUCUGAACUUCAGGUUGAUGAGAACGGUACGGCCCCUUUUCCCAUUUAUCGGCUGGAUGGUGCUAGAAAAGAAGAGUUCUUUGAUUGGAUUACAAAUAAAGUGAAAUUUCCUGACGGAUAUGCAUCAAAUUUGGGGAACUGCGUUGAUAGAAGCGAAGGAAAGUUUAGUGGCUUCAUGAUUGUCAUGUAAUUAUGCAGCGCCUCCUUCCGGUUGCUUUUUCAGCAUUAUUGCCAUGCAAUGUUCAUGAAGCAAUUGCAGUUAUCUUAUAUUUUUACAAUUUAAUUUAUUUUUAUAUUUAACAAUUAUGCUUAUAUAAACUUAAUACUUAUGAAAAUUAUGUCUUUUAUCUAUGUAGGGAUAAGUGUUUUCUUCCGCGACUUAUGCAGCAGAAUAGUGACUGAAGAGGGUAUUAAUAAUUUGAAGACAAACGCACCAGUCAGCAUGUGCAACCUCGAGAAGAUAUUUCCUCCAUCAUUUUUUGAUGUAAUGGAACAUCUUGCUAUUCAUCUCGCAAGAGAAUUGGAACUUGGUGGUCCUGUGCAGUACAGAUGGAUGUAUAUUUUUGAGCGUUAUAUGCAUCAUCUGAAGAAGAUGGUCAAAAAUCAAAGCAGGGUGGAAGGAUCUAUAGUGGCACAGGUGAUCAAUGAAGAAACUGCAAUCUUUGCUGAAAAUUAUUUUCCACCAGAAGUGCAUACAAAACACCGAUCGCAUGAUGACAGAGGGGAGAGAGCAACAUAUCAUGUUACUGUCCCAAGCAUGUUCAAGGAAAUAGGAUGACUUAGUGGAAAAUUCACGAAGCGCAUACUUACGGACACUGAGCACGAUCAUUUGCAAAUUUGCUCACCAACUGUGAAGAUGUUCUACAAUAUGAGAGGUAAAAAUAUUUUUUUAUUUACAUUGUUAGAUUAAUAUUCAAUAAAUUUAUUUCAUAUUGAUAAUAUUUUUGUAUAUAGUGUAUAUAUGGCGGAGUUGCAUUGUGUAGUAUUCUAUUGUGAUUGAUAUGACACCACCAAAGAUAGAGGAGUGAAGAUUGAUGCGUUUGGUAUUACAUCAUUUCAUUCGCGGCGGAAACUUCAAUACUAUGAUCCCUUCAUUCUUGGUUCGCAAGCUGAUCAGGUAUGUCAAUCUAUUCAUAAUUUUUUACCAAUAUAAUUAAUUAAUGUUAUAUAUUUUACUAAUAUUUGUAUAAUUGAUAUGUAUAGGUGUGUUACAUCAGUUACCCUCGGGUGACGUACAGAGAUGAUCCAUGGGUCACUGUAACGCAAAUCAACCCAAGAGGACGAGUGGAUGGAACUUCUGAUGAUGAUGAACCAUUAUUGCAACCAGAGUCUACCAGCAACGCCCAGGCAGUUGAAGAUUUGGCAAAUGUUGAACUCGUUGAGGAUUUGACUGAGUUUGGACUUGAUGUUGUUGUACAUUCGGAGCCAGAAGCUGAUGUUGGGGAAUUUGAUGAAGAUUCAGAAGAUUCGGAUUAGUUUUUUUUUUUUCUAUUGGUCUGUCGGAAAUCCCUCGCAAAAUACCGACGAGAUAGCGACGACAAAGAGUUUCAUUAAAGUUUGGAAAUGUCCUCGGUAAUUCGUCGGAAUAUACCGACGACAUUCCGACGAACUCGUCUUGUUUGUCGGAAUGUCGUUGGUAUAUUCCGACGAAUUACCGAGGACAUGUGUUUUUAAAAAAUUUCCAACAUAAAAAUCUAUAAAUUUAUAUGCCAAAACUAUGAAAAUAAUACAUAAUAAGUGUUUAGUAUAAUAUUAGAUCGCAACCGUUCAAAUAUAACAAUUCAUUAAAAUAUUUAUGUAUGCAUAUCAUUGUUUUCAUAACAUCUCAUCUUAACACUCAUAUACUUAUACAAUCAUAUUCAUCUAAUCUUACACUACAAAAAAUGUUGUUGUGUAAAAUCGUGUUAUAAAAACAUUUCUAUUGUAAAAUCUUUAUGCAAAUACUAUAUAUAUUAUCAAAGAUUUGGAUUUUGCAUUUAGAAACUUGUAACCAACCCUUAAACACUAAGUCGUCGAAAAUGGUCGUCAGUAUUCCGUCGGAAUAUACUGACGAACUAAAUUCCGUCGGAAUUGUAAUUUACCCGGGAAAACCAAACCGCGUGAAAUUUUCGCGAACCGCCAAAUUGAUAUGUAUUUAAUGAUACCGACGGAAUACUGACGAACCAGUGUCCGUCGGAAAUGUUAAAUAUAAUUACCCUUCUUCUUCCUUCUUCGUUAUUUCCGCCUCCGGCUCUCUCUCAAUCCUCUCCGCGAUUUCUCUCCCUUUCACGGCGAUUCCGGCCGUUCUCGAGCCCCCAUCACCGGCGAAUCAUCUUCUCACCCUCAUAUCUCUUCCCCAAACCCCAAAUCAUGUAAGAAUCAUCCCAACCUUGUCUUAUCUCAAUUUUUUAGAGUUUUGGAAGUUAGAUCUCGGAUUUUAGGUUGUUUGAUUGAAAAUUUUAGGAUUGAAUGGAUAGUUUAGGAUAUAUAAGUUAGGAUUGUUGUUUGGAUUGUUGUUUAAGUUUUUUUUGGAAUUAUUUUGUAUUUUUGUUAAAAUUCAAAACGUUUUACUGUUUUUAAAACGUUUUUUGAUUUUUAAAAACGUUUUUCAAGUUUCCAAUAAUAAAAUAUGUAUAAUAAAACGUUUUUAAAAAAUUUUAAAAAUAUUUAACAACAUUUUUCUAUAAUUAUAAAUUUUUUAUAAUUUUGUGUACAUAUAUAUAUAUAUAUAUAUAUAUAUAUAUAAAAAUCAUGUAUAAUAAAAAAAUUUAAAAUUUUUAUAUUUUUUUACAAGUUUCCAGUAAUAAACUAUGUAUAAUAAAACAUUUUUUAAAAAUUUUAAAAAUAUUUAACAACAUUUUUCUAUAUUUAUAAAUUUUUUAUAAUUUUGUAUACAUAUAUAUAUAUAUAUAAAUCAUGUAUAAUAAAAAAAAAUUAUAAUUUUUUAUAAGUUUCCAGUAAUAAACUAUGUAUAAUAAAAGGUUUAAUUGUUUUUUUUUAAACGUUUAUAAAACCUUUUGUAAAUAUAUAAAUAAAAACAUUAAAAAUAGAAAUGAUUUGAAAAGAUUUUUGAUGUAUUAAUUUUUUUUAAGGUCCGAGGAUGUACCCCGCCUCGCAGCCCGUCUUCGACGUAGUUCGGUGAGCAGUUCCCGUGCAUCGGGAUUGUCUCACGAACAAAACUCGGUUCCCGCAUAUAUUACCGCUCCAGCUCCCGCUGCCCCUCCCGCUGCUGCUCAACAGGAUCCGGGGGUCAUGCCAGUUGAUCUAUUGGUUCAACAACCAGGUCGAGAGCAUCUCCCGGUUCUCCAUCCCAACCCACGACGAGGACAUAUCACUUGGUUAGUAUUUUUUUUUAUUUGUAGUAUUAUGUUUUUUUCCAUUAAUUAACUUGUUAACUAACUUGUAUUUUUUUUAAAGGUUCACCAAGUCGAAAAAUGGCAUUAGCAGGAGCAUCAACCAGAUGAUGUACUCCAUGCUUCGUUUUGGAUAUUCAAAGUGGAGUGUGAUUCCUUUCGAAGAACGAGAGUUGUGGUUUCGUCAGUUUGCGGUAAACUCUUCAUUUUUUUAAAGUAUUUACAUUUUUUUAAAAUAUAUUUACUUAUUACAUUAUGUUUGUUUUGUAGUAAGAGUUCAACUGGCACUCCGAUCUCACGGAAACAGUCCGUAAGAAAUUCAACGAAAAGGCCAUGGACUCUUAUACGAAGCAGAUAAACGCGUGGAAGACAGUUUGGCAGAAGAACAAGAGGCCACGGUUCAUCAACGGGACGGUGUGGGAGCAGUUGAUAGUUCAUUGGGAGAAGGAAGAAACUACAGAGACGUCUUCUAGGAUCUCCAAGAACCGGAAGAGCGAUCGUGGCGGGAAAGGUAUGUAUGUGCACAACCUCGGCGCUUGCUCUAUGUCUACUAAGGAGGAUGAACUUGUAAGUUUUUUUUUAUUAUUUAUCUUUAUAUUUUUUAAAUAAAUAUUUUAUAUAUUCCUUGGCUAAUAAUGGCGGUUUUUUAGAUCGAAGAAAAUGACGGUAAUCCCGUUGAUCGUCUCCAACUCAUUAAGGUGGCUCACACUAACAAGAAGACGGGUCAAAUUCAGGAUCUCGUGAUCAAAGGUGUCGUUGAUUUGGUGGAAGCUGAAAUAGCAACUCAAUCUCAGCCUCUCUCUGAUGACGGCGAUUCUACGGGAGCUUCAACCAACUUGUCCCUAUUGCAAAUAAAUGAGAUGGUUGAAAAGGUAAUUUUUUUUAUUAAUAUAUUUUUUUAUAAUGUCGAUUACUAAUUUGUCCAUAUUUACUAACUUUAAAUAUUUUUGUAGGCGGUUCCUAAAAGGAAAGGAGGCCGUUUAUUUGGGUUGGCCCGCCGUGCUUCUUCGUAUCCGGCAUCUUCUUCGCAAGCUCCGUAUGCCGAUCCCAUGAUUCUCGAGGAGCUACAUGACAAAGAUGAACGGAUUGGGGCAUUGGAGGAGCAGAACACCACUAUCCUUUCUGAGAAUGCCACUAUCCGUUCGGAGAAUGCCACUAUCCUUGCUGAGCUGGCAUCCCAGAAGAAGUUCAACGCCGAGAUAAUGCAGAAGCUAGAUCGUUUGAUGUCUUUGACUUCUUAGUUUUUUUCAGCUUUUUAAAACUUUCUGAAUGUUUUUUUUUUCGUUUUGCAUGAAUUUUAAACUUUCUGAAUGUUUUUUCUAUUUCGGUUUGUAUGAAUUUAAAUUCUAUAAUAUUAUUAGUUUUAAAUUUCAAAUUUUAUCUAUUUAUUAAUUAAUUUUUCAUAUAAAAAUAUAUAUAAAAAUGCAAAAUUAAUUCUUAUUAAAAUUGAUAUAUUCCGACGAACUAAAGCCUCGGAAAAUACCGACGGACUUUGAUUCGUCGGAAAUUACCGACGGACUAUGAUUCGUUGGAAAAUACCGACGGACUAUAAUUUGUCGGUAUUUUCCGACGAAUCAAAGUCCGUUGGUAUUUUCCGACGAAUCAUAGUCCGUCGGUAUAUACCGAGGACUUCGUUGGUCGGUAUCUUCCGAGGAUCCGUCUCCUUCGGUAUAUAGUUUUUCCGAUGAACUCUGGUCUCGUGUGUCCGCAUCGGAAUAUCGUCGGAAGUUCGUCAGAGUGACAUUUCUCGGUAUUCGUCAGAAAGUCGUCGGAAGGUCUGACGAAAUUCCAACGAAUCCUUUUUUUCCGACGAAAUGAUACCGACGAACGCGUUCGUCAGAAAUUCGUCGGAAUAGGCCUAUUCCGACGAAUUUUCGACGAUUUCGGCCAUCAGAAUCCCCUUGUUUUCUUGUAGUGGGAGAUGAAUUCCCAGUUUCUUGGAACAUAUGAUGGACGCUUGGACGUGAGACUCAUGAACCGGUUUGAAUAUGAAAUCUGGUUUAGGCAUUGAUGUGGUCAAGUAUCGUUGAUUUUGAGCCGUCGAGUUAAGGACUUCAAUGAACAUCGAGGCGUUUCUUUCUGAAGUGAAGAAUGUUUUGUCGAGUGGAAAAUCGACAUUUGUGUUUUGGUGGACACAAUUGAUGAAGUCAUCUUGUAAGGAGUUUGAAGAAGUUGAUGCUACUGUGUAGAAAGAAAAAUAUAGGGCUAAAAACGAUAUAUGAGAAACUGCAGGGGAUAAUUUUGAAACUCUCAUCCCUGCAACUAAAAGCAGAAUCGGCGAGAACAAGAUGGAAAUGGAUGUAUGUUGCGAGUGUUCUUUUGUCAGUGAAGGAACUUAUAUAAGAGAUUGUGAUCAAACUGUGUGAUUUAUUUUAUCAAAAAAAAAUUGGCCGUCUUAAAAAAAUUAGGAAAAAUUGCUAAAACAGAUCAAAAAAACAACAUAGUUGUCCGUAUGGUAUAAAACCAUCAUUAAGUUGUCCUUAUAGUAUAAUAUUUUUCAUAAUCCUAAAACUAACAUUUUCUUAAUCAAAUUAAACAUAAAUAAAAACCAUUUUUCAAAAGUUUAAUAGAAAAAGAUAAAAAAAUAAGGUAAUCCCAUAAUAUUUCAGAAAGGAAAAAAAUGUAAAAACAAUUAAAAAAAAAUAAAACACACGACACAAAUAAAAAAUAUCCCGUAACCUAAUUGCAUUUGGUUUCUAAAAUCCUCCAAAACUAUUCUUUUAAUAUCCUCUAAGGUAGAACUUGAUUCCAGUAAAAGUAAUCUACCCUCUUUAUCAUCAGCCGAAAAAUCUCAUCCCGUGCUUGCACUAAAUUCCCAAACACUACAUAUUGUAUAGAUAUGCAUCAUAGAACAAGAGUUUGUGAAAAUCACAAGACAAACUAUGGAGAAAUCAUAGAUUAAUGAAGAAGAAAAGCCAAAAUCUUUUUUUUUUUGAUAUUUUGACAAAGAAAAUCGACCAGGACACGUUUUAGGAAAUUAUAAUAUUUUUAAGGGAAAUUUGCCAAUAUGGAACUAAAUCUCUAUAGUAUUGUCCCCUUAGAACUAAAUUAUCUAACCUUGUCCGUAUAGAAUUAAUUCUUGUCCCCUUAGAACUAAUACUUUGUGAAUCUACUGUUUUGUCCUUUUCUUUAUAAUAUAGUUAAUAAAUUUUAAAAACUAUAUGAAUUAAAAAGGAAAUACUUAAUUAAAUAAAAAUAGGGCAAUUUUUACCCAACUCUCGAUCCCGUUCUCUCCGACUCUCUUUCCCAAUCGAGAGACGAUUUCUUUCUCGCCGGCGACACCUUCCGCCUCUGAGAUUCUUGGUUCGUCGGAGAGCUUCAACGAGGAGUCACAUCGCUUCUCCCUCCUCCUUCUUGCGUAUUUCCUCUGUUAGUGCCACCGGUUAGAUUGUCGUUCUUAUCUCCGCCCCUUAGAACUAAUACUUUGUGAAUCUACUGUUUUGUCCUUUUCUUUAUAAUAUAGUUAAUAAAAUUUUAAAAACUAUAUGAAUUAAAAAGGAAAUACUUAAUUAAAUAAAAAUAGGGCAAUUUUUACCCAACUCUCGAUCCCGUUCUCUCCGACUCUCUUUCCCAAUCGAGAGACGAUUUCUUUCUCGCCGGCGACACCUUCCGCCUCUGAGAUUCUUGGUUCGUCGGAGAGCUUCAACGAGGAGUCACAUCGCUUCUCCCUCCUCCUUCUUGCGUAUUUCCUCUGUUAGUGCCACCGGUUAGAUUGUCGUUCUUAUCUCCGCCGCCGCCGACCAUUGAAGCUGCUCAAGCUCGGGAGUAGCUUCUCCUCCCCGAUUAAGGACGAUUAGUUUCACAGUUGUUUUCUUUUGCUCUUCCUUCAUCUCGGUUCUGACAAUUUGAAGGUUAGGCUUUGAAAUCCCCUUUACGAUUUUGCUUUUUUUUGUUUGUUCUUUAUGUUUAUUUGCAUGUACUACAAAUUGUACUAGAUAGAGAGUUAGUUUAAAACACAAAUCGAAACAAGUUUAUGUUUUUCAGAGGCGGAAUGUGGUUGAGUGGGGUGUGAGAUUGGCUUGUUGUUGAGGUGAUUUUGAGUUCUAGUUUGUUUGGUAUCGGCUUUACUAAGGUUUAGAAUUCAUAAUAGACUUGAAAAAGCUAAUGACUUUGACAUGCUUUAGACAUCGAUUUUACAUACUUGUUUUGGGAUCGAGUUUGUUAUUUGAAUUGAAUUUGUCGAUAGUGUGUAGUCUUUUGUUAUUCAUUUGGUGCGUAGCUUUGACUCUGUUUUAUUUUAGAGGAAAACACAUUUGCUAGUUGAUUAUAUUUUGUUUCGAUUUGUGUUUCUAAGUAGUUUUGAAUUGUAAAAAACUAGUUAAAUGUGAGAUGGUUAUAUUUGGUUCGCUGUUAACUUAUGGAAUUCAUGUUUUUUAGGAAUGGCUCACCAGUUUCCUAAACGCAUUCUUCAAGAAGGUGCUGAGACGCAGAUGGAUAAGAUUAACAACACAUGUAGAAGGACGCUUCUGAAGGCGGUAAAGGUGGCUCUGAAAGAUGAGUAUGAGGAAGUUUUGAAAGACCCUGUCUUCGGGCCUCUUCUGGCGAUCAUAGAGAACAACCUCAUCUACUCAGGGAAGAUUAUUCACAGCUUCAUGUGCAAGCAGCUCAGGGUUUCCAAGCUUCACGAGCUGUGGUUUAUUUUUGCGAAGAGGCCUCUUAGGUUUUCUAUGCAAGAAUUUUAUGCUGUGACUGGAUUGAAGUACAAAGAGGAACCCGACGUAGACUUCAUUAACUGGAAGAAUGAUAAGGGGUUCUGGGCUAAUGUGCUGAAGACCAAUGCGAAGAUCAACUUAUAUACUAUAAGGGAUGAGCUCCUUAAGGUGUGUAACGAGUGGUCGUAUGUGGACAGAGUGAGGUUAGUUUAUCUGUCCAUUAUACAAUCAUUCCUCAUGGCUAAGGAUUGGAAAGUGUAUAUCCCUCAAGAAUACAUCCGCCCUUGGUGAUGGAUUUUGAGAAAUUGAGGAUGUAUCCUUGGGGUCUUCGCGCUUAUGAUGAGCUGAUUGCAUCAAUACUCAGAGCAAGAGAAGAUGUGCAUACGAAGAACAGCUACGUGUUGGAUGGAUUCUCAUAUGCGUUUCAGAUAUGGAUUAUGGAGGCAAUUCCAGACAUUGGUUCUAUAGUGGGUAAAAAAAUAAAAAAAAACGUGAAGAAAAUGAGAUGUAGGAAUUGGAAAGGUAGUGGUAAAGUAUCCUACCAAGAUAUCACCAGCCUAGAGUCCCACUUUGAUAAGGUAACUGUUAUUUCUUCUUUAAAUAUUGAGUUCAAUAAAUGUUCAAUGUAAGCUUAGUGUUUUGUUUGUUCUUGCAGGGAGAGCUGUUCACAUUUAUAUCAUCUACUGGUGAUUUCGAUGUGAUUGCUGAUACUGAGUUCCUUAGGGAAGAUGAAAAGAAGGACGAAAGAGUUGGUCGUAUUGUUGAAUUGAUCAAUGCGAAACAAGACUGGACGCAUUUCGAUUGGGAAGUUGAGUCUUUGCCUGCACAUAUGGACCUUUCUGAUUCAGAACAAGAUGAACUGGCUGAUGUUGCAGAAGAACCGUCAGAACAAGAGGAACCGACUGUAGUUGCAGGGGAACCGGCUGUUACUGCGAAAAGAGGCAUGCGCAAGCUAAUUGAUCCUGGUGCCGAGUCUCGAAAGAAACAACUGCUUUGUCAACGUGCGGCUGAACACAACAGUGGUGUCUCUAGUGAAAUGAAGACCUUCAUUGAAGGUUUGUUCACCGCUUCUUUCAACUCUUUUAAGGAAGUGGUGCAGAAGGACAUACAUGAGCGUUUUGACAACGUUGCCAAUGAGGUGUCUCAACUCAAGGAACAAGUCUCUCAGCUUAAGGGUCUAUCGGAAACAGUGGGAAAAGGCAACACAUCUGAGAUUCUCUCUCCUUCAGCAACAAUUGGAAAAGACCAAGGACCAUCAUCUCAUAGUACGGGUCCUCCCGCAGCAAAGGGAAAAGGCAAGGCAUCUGCAAAUGUCGAUCCUCCUCCGGUUCGUCGUAGCCCUCGGCCAGUAAGAGAGGUAACCAAAAAAUGAAGCUCUGUGUAUUUUGCUAUGUCGACUCUUUUGAUGUAAUGUCCUUGUAUUGUAAUAUGUAAUAUAUCGGCUUGUAUGAACUAAUGAUGAUGACUUGUGGGAUUGACUAUUUUGUAAUGUACUUUUCUAUAUUUUGCUAUGGACUGUCCUUUUAGUAUUAAUGUUAUGCUUGUUUUUAUUAACAGGAUGUUCAAACUGAUGAAAAUGAAAUGAUGGAUUUUUUGAAGAAUUUGACCAAAUCAGCGAGAUGUGUAGAUAAGGGGACCCAAGACUCUUUACAAGAAGCCAUGGGAAACCUUUCUCAAGCAUCUCAUGUUAAAGGUUUUGAUCCUUCACAACAUCUGGAUGGUAAUGAACCAGCUGACUUUGCCACUCCACUGUCUUCGUUUAAGCCUGCGGAUUGGAGACCACCUACUCUGAAAGACGUGGACUCACUUGAGGACCGGAUACAUGAUCCCGAUUACUCACUAGUGUUUGUCCCUGAGGCAUUAUGGGGCAAACUUGUUGACUGGACCAAAACUUUCAAGUAAGUUGAUAUUUUUAAUUUUUUUUAACAAUUCUACCAUUUUGAUACUGAAUUUUGUAAUGCAGAGAACUAAAAAUUGGACCAUCUAUGCUCACAAAUGAGUUAGUAACUCGUGUCGUCGGACCUUCAGAGUGGCUCCUGAAUAAGGUCAGUUAUUACCUUGUUCCUUUUUAUUUUGUGUACACAAACUUACAGUCUUUUAUCAAAUUAUGCAGGAAAUUGAUGGUAUGAUGUGGUUAUUCACUGAUAGGACUUCCUUGCGGCGAUGGUUUCCAAAUAAAGUAGCCUUCGUGACAUGCUUGUUCAGUAAUCAAAUUACGAACUCUUACAACGAGUAUAAGAAGGACAAGAAGAAAUUCAAAGUGGGCGGACUGCUACAACAGUACGGCAUUGGCGAACUUCCAGCACACGGACGAACAAGACUAAUGUGGGAUCUUGAUGUUAACCGCAUGUAUGUCCCCCUAAAUGUUGGUAAGCACUGGAUCUCUAUGUGCGUCAACUUUGUUACUCGGUCGAUAGAGGUCUUUGACUGUGAGGGACUGAGACACCCCGGUGCAGUGGAGCCAUUUGCAGUUCUCAUCCCUAGAAUUGUCAAAGCCAUUCAGUCUUCUAAGAGUCGACAGUAUCAAGUCAAGCAGUAUACCGUCUCCUACGUCUCAAUGCCCUUCUUAUUGAACAAAAGUAGCAGUGACUGUGGAGUAUAUGCCUUGAAGCACAUUGAAUGCCAUCUUCUAGGCUUGGACUUUUCCCUGGUGAAUGAUAACAACAUUCGUGAAGCGCGGCAGAAGAUUGCUUAUGACCUAUGGGAAGCUGCUAUUGAUCAUGUCCUUAUUGAAAGGAUGGCAAAAUUCACUCCCCCGAAGACAAUUUCAAGUGCUCUAGUGGAACUUGAAUAAAAUUCUUUCUGUUAUGACUUGUGUAGGAAGUAUAUUGUUAUUUGGUGAUUUUAUUUGACUCUUUUAGUUACCAUUUUACUCCUUUAGUUACUACCUUAUUUCACUGUUUUAUUUGACUCUUGAAGUAGCUUUCUCUUUACUUUUUAGGUGACAAUAUGAAACCCUAUCUAUACCCUAAAUGAUUGAUAUGCGAUGUCCUAAUUCUUAUCAAAACAUAACCGAAAUCUAAACCUAUCUAUACCCUAAAUGGCAUUAAAGUAGGACAAACUAUAUUAAACCUUAUACCUUGUACGACACUAAAGAAGACAAACGAUUUCAAACCCUAUACCCUAAAUGACACUAAAAUACCACAAUCUAUUUGGUGCCAAAAUUUAUCAACACAAUCAUUAGUAAUCUGAAAAAUUCAUAAUAAUCAAAACAAAUCUUUAUAAUGAAAACACAUACAAAUUGACCAUAUGUGCCCAUCCGAUUAGAAACAUUGUAAACCCUAAUUAUAUUCCUUAUAUAAGAUCAUAAAGCGGCCACAAACACUACAUCUUGCGGUGUUUUUUUCUCCUACUUGUUCUUAAAAAAUCUCUCCUCAAAAGAGAAUGACGAACACGAAAUACCAUGGAGCGAUCCCUACCAGAUGCUGGUGUGGAAAGAAGAUUGUCACUUAUGUUUCAAAAACGGAAGAGAACCCAUACAGACGAUUCUUCAGAUGUGAGAUUGGUUUACAGGUAAAUCUGAUAAUUCAUUACUUCAUAUUCUUCUAUAUGUCAAUUGAUUUGUUUUGUGUUUUGAAACAGAGAAAAAAAGAAAAUCAUAUUUUUAAGUGGGUGGACGAGGCUCUGCUUGAUGAGAUUGAAAGGAUGUCUGAGCAUCAGGCGAGAGUUGCUGAGGAAAUUGAAGAUCUGAGAAUUUCCAUGAAGAAGACAGUGCAUGAAGAAGUUAUGAACCAUAAGCAUUCGCUUGAUGUAGGUUGCGUAGGAACCCUUUUCAGUUUGUUAUGUCUCUGGUCCAAAUGUGAUUGAUAUUGUAAUGGUUCUCUGAUUCAAGUUACAUUUUCAAAUAUUGAACCAAUCUGAUUUCCAGUUUUAUUGUCGUGUUAUGAACAACGUUAUCAAACAAACCUAAUUUUCAUAGUCUCUGAAACAUAGUAUCCUAAAAAACGUGAAACAUAACUUGCAUAAAUCAAGAUGAAUAAAGCUUGCGUAAACAGAACUUGCAUAAAGUCUGAAACAUAGUAACCCAAAUCACAUGUUCUCCUAUCGUGCAUGAAACGAACUGAGUAUCCUAUAUUGCUCGAUCACAUGUUCUCCUAUCGUGCCCUCGAAUCCCACAUCGGCUACAUUUGCGACCUUUAGAGCCUUGAUUUCCUUGUGACGAACGGAUCUUAUCUUCGACUGUCUCGUAUCUGUGUUUCUUUCUUCUACCUGCAGCUCGUCUAGACUCUGGAGGAAGGACUUUCGUCUGCUCCACGUGAGAUGGAACAGUCCAAGCAUCUUCAGGGACACCAAUAGGAUUUAUGCUUUCUUCAUAAGCCGUGCGCCAUGACGCAGUAGUGUAUAUGUCGUCUGUGAGUGUGUGUGCUUGUAUUCCAACACUGAAGCCUGCUUUUAUGGCGUGCCUGCAUGGGAUUUUCAUCAGAUCAAACUUCCCACAAGAACACGUGCGUCUGACCAAGUCAACCAUGCAGUCAAAAGUGUCACCUUGAACCAAAAACCUGUCAUCGCUAAUCGGGAAGACCUUAAACUUUUUACCCUUCUCAAUCUUUCUGUCUAUCUUCUUCUCCACAGCAAUGGUCAGUGGCUUUGAGUGCUUAGAACUUAAAGUUCUACGUUGGAAAAACCAUCGAGUCAUCAUUUCCCUAAUGCUGUCCAUUAGAGGUAUUACUGGAAACUCUCUAGGCGUACGCAAAGCAGAAUUUAUCGACUCCGCAGGGUUAGUAGUGUUGAUAUCAUACCUGUAACCCGGGAAUUGACAACGAGCCCACUUCCUCACAUCAGCUUCUAUUAGAUAAUUUCCAAUUUCAGGACUAAUAGAGUAAAUAGCAGUGAACAGCUUACGAAAAUCAGCAGCUCGAUAAGCUUUAGAAGCCUUUGCAACCAAACCAGCCACACCUUUCCCACUAAAAUAUGUUACGACAUUAUUCAGCAAGUGGUGAAUGCAAAUUCCGUGAUGAGCUUGCGGGUACACGUUAGCAAUAGCUUUAGCAAUCGAGGAAUUCCUAUCAGACACAAAAGCUAAACUAUGCUCGUCAGCAAUGACCGCAUUAAGUUGUCUCAUAAACCAGUUCCACGCAAGGUCAUUCUCUGAGUCGACAACUCCAAAUGCAAUAAAAUAUAAAUUAGAGUUUCCAUCUAAUGCAGUAGCAACCAGUAAUACCCCUUUGUAUUUGCUCUUCAAGAACGUCCCAUCCACAACAAUAACUUUCCGAAUUGCAACAUAGAAACCGCGAAGACUCUGACCAAAGGAGAUGAAGAGGAAUCUGAAUCGCCCUUCAGAAUCCCUUUCAUAAGACGUGUGUGACCCUGGAUUAGCUUCCCUCAUCAUGUGCAAGUAUUUGGGAAUUUUUUCAUAGCCUUCCUCUGGAAGGCCUUUCACUUUGUUGAUUGCAUACUCACGUGCAUCCCAUGCCAAAGAAUAGGAUAUCUCAAGUCCAUGUUCUGAACGCAUAUACUGGACUAUAUCAUUAGAUCUCGGCCCUUCUUUAGCAGUUUCAUACAUAUGCAUAACCAGAGUACCAAUUGUUUUUGCUGAAGCUGUCCGAACAGAACCCUUCCUUUUGGAUGCAGCACAUGAAUGAUGAGGUACAUACUUUUUGAUGAUAAAAUAAGAUGAACCAGGUAACCCCUUUGCACGAACACGCCAGCUGCAAUCAUCAUCUGCGCAACGAAUGUACCACAUUUUUUUAUCCGACUUGACAAACUUAUAGUCGAAAUUAUGUUUCAUUGCACAUAUUUCGAAUGCUGCCUUCAAAAGCGUUUUCGAAAUAAAAUGUUGACCCUCCUUCACAAAAUCCACCAAAGAAAAUCGCACAUCAUUUCCAUUGGUCUUCUCUUUGUCACACCAUUCAACCUCUUCUUGUGAAUCCAUGGUUUAGAUAGGAAAAAAUUAGAGAAGAAGAAAAAAAAAAAAAAGAAAUCGUGAGACAACGAUGAAGAAGACCACAAUUUAGGAAAAAUAACAAUUAAAAAAGGAAAACAAAAUAUUUAAAAGAUUUAGAGAAUAUUUCAUAACCGUUUUUACCAAGAUUUCCGGAUUUAGUUUACUAACCGUUAUAGAACUUGCAUUCUACCAAUUUAGAAAAUAGAAUAAUAAAUAGGAUGUUAUAUACUACUAUAGUAGAUAUAAAGACAUGUUGUAGAUUGUAUUUUCUUGCGUGGUUUAUAAUAAGGAAGGAUUUAGAUUUUAUUUUCUAGCGCGGUUGAUGAGAUGACAUUGUUUAGUGUUUUAAAUCUACCAGAAAUAUAGAGCAUAGAGGAAAUCGUGAACUUCAUAUUCUGCCUUACUAGUUGUAUACGUUUCCGUUAUAAUAUGCAGCCUACAUGCCUUAGAACAUUGUGUUUCUUUCAGAUUACGUAUUCUAAACCGCCGUAGAUGGCAGAUAUGGUUAACUAGCACAUUUAGCCAAUUUUUCAAAUUAUUAUGUAAACAUCUUUUGAUGUCAAAAAUAUUUUUCUCACAUGCACAUGCUUAUCUACAUUAAGUUAACUAUUUUUCCAUAUUUUUUUCCUUUGUAAAAAAAAUCUUAUGAAUUUUUAUAUACAAAAAGGGUAGUCACUGUCCAAAUGUGUGAAAAGUUAAUUUAGUUCUAGGGGGACAAUACUUUAGAGAUUUAGUUCCAUAUUGGCAAAUUUCCCUAUUUUUAACUGAAACUUCCUUAAUUUUCGGAAAAACUGUUAUUUUAUCCGUAAAAGGCACCUUCUACACUGGUAGAACCAUGAUAAAAAUUCUGACUACAAUUUCUACUUUUUGUAUAUGUUCGUGUUAAGUUUAGAUUUCACAUACCCGGAAUUUUAGAAUAAUUCAAAAAGUAGAAACUUCAUUCAAAAGAAAAGUAGCGAUCUUUACAAUUAGUAGAAUUCACAUUACCCAUAUUUAGAAUUUUAAUUAUUUUUAGAUUGUUUAUUCUAAAAAAGUAGAUGGACUUGUUUAUUCUGAAAUUCAUUUUUUACUAACUUAUUUUCCGUAGAAGACGAAUUCUACUUUUAGUGGAACGUAAUUUUAAAAUUUUAUUUAUCAAUUUUUUGAACCAAAAAAAUGUGUUUGUGUAUAUAGGUAUUUUAUUAAUUUUUUAUAUUUUAAAUAUUUUUUGGAUUCAUAAAACUAUUUAUUUCAUUAAAUUUAAGAAAUGAAAAAGGUAAAAAGGAGAAUAAAUGGACAAAUAUGGUUUUAUAUCAUAGGGACAACUAUUAUGUUUUUUUUUGUUCUGUUUUGGCAAUUUUUUCAAAAAAUUAAUAGCAGUGGACGAAACAUAAAAUAGAGACUUUUAAAAAAAUUCUCAGCUUUUUGUAUUGCAUUUCCUUAAACUGAAGCAAAAGAAAUUUGUGGUAUUCAAAGAAAAAAAAAUUAAAAAGAUGGGCCUUAAUGUUAAACUAGGUUUUGUCAAUGGAAAAAUUGAGAAUGGUGAAGCUUAAAAUAAAUUUUGGUGUCUUUUUGUAUUUAAAAUGGGUUUAUCAUGGACCCUUUUGUUAUAAUUUCACUAACUAAUUAAAAAAUUAACAAACUAAAAUGGGUUUCUGUAGCUAUAAAAUAAAUGUCAAUUGUUUUUUUUGUCAAUUAGGCUUCAAGAUGGAAAUGAAUGUCAAUUGUUUUUUUUGUCAAUGAAGUAAUUUGUUCAUAUUUACACCUCAUUAAAAUUAAAUCCACUUAACAUUGGUAAUUAUGUAACAAUAGUUCAGAUUUAACUUAAGUUUAUAUUCAAAGAUGGUGUGCCCAGGAUUGUCAAAAGAUUCGGUAAUUAGGUUAAAAUGAUUUAGUUUCUUACGAUAUGGAAUACAUCUUGGGAAUCAGCCAAAAAUGACAUAAAACUUGAUUUUAAAUGCAAAAAUAUAUUUCAAUUUUAAUCAGAUGCAAAAUUAACUCAAAACACUAAUGAAAUUUUGACCAAUCAUUUAUGACCAAACAAAAAAUUAAUAUGCAUUUUUACGAAUAUAAGCUCUCGAAAUAUUUUGUAGUUUUGUAAGUAAGACUUCUUGGAUAUCUUCUCAUAUAAUAUAUAUUAAAAAUAAUUUGUAAAUUUUCUAAAAUAAUAUUUUGAUGGGAGAAAAUUGAAAUCAUAUAAUUAUAAACAUUUGUAAAUUAUAGAAAUUAAGAUAUGGUAAAAUUGAAUUGUUUCCAACAUAGAUUAGUGAAUGUAGUGUGUCAUGGUAUUUUUUGGUUUAGAGUUUGGUAACAUAUGUUGUAGUGUGUUUGUAUUUUAAGAUUAGUAGAAGCUUAACUUUUUUUUUUUGAAAAGUUAAAAUUUGACCUGUUUUUAGUUUUGUGUAUAUUAAACAUUUUUAAAGUUGAUUUUAAGUUUAAUGAAAUGAUUUAGUUAGUUAUUUGAGUUUAGGGUUUUUAAACUAGUAUAUUUAAGUCUUGUAGAAAAUAGUAUAUUUAGGGGUUAGAAGUCUUCUUGUAUAUUUUAUGUUAGAAUAUAUAGGAACCGAACCUUAAAUUUUACCAAAUACAUUAAACCUAACCCGAUUAUUUACGAGAGAUAUAAAUAGUAUUUUUCAUUUUUUGUUGAUAAAAGCAAGAAACUAUAGCCGUUUCUCUUCAUAUCGCCAAUUAUAAUUUUAACAUAUUUAAAAUAUUUGUUCAAAGUUAUUUUUAAUAAAUAUUCUUUUGAAAAUAUAGAAAACUAAAUUUAGUUAAAAUACAUUUAUAUUUAAAUUUUGGUUUGUCAAAGUUAACAUGAUUUUAUUCGUCAAAGCAAAAAAUCUAACUUACACUUCUAUACAUAUACGGUCUAAUGGAACCAAAUCGUUUUAAGUUGUUUUUCUUAACACUGGGUAUUCAUUACACUAUAUAGGCAAAGAAAAUUAUAUAAGAACAUCAAAUCCAUUAAAAAAAAAACUGAUACUAGUCAAAGAGGAAGCAAUACUCGAGAAUAAAGAAAAGCAACAGGAUAAGGUUUCCACAAAGAGGAUUCAAUUCACGAGAAAGAGAUUAGGAUACCCAGGGGCUACACUACGUUAGGUAAGGCCAUAAGGGUGGGCAGCUGCCAACCAUGGACUUUUAAAAUCAGUGUAUUUGUGUACAAAUUUUUACUAAUGUCCCGGUUAAUAAUCGAAAUUUAUAAAUAUAUUUAAUAGUGUUGUAUAUGUCUGCCCUAGAUAAAAAUUACUGCUUGAUCCGCCACUGGGGAUGCCGUGUCUAGAGACCACACGGUACUUGUGAGAAGGUGCCAAAAACCAUGACACAUAUACAAUAGCCGGUGGGAGCCGCAUUUGAUUAUGCCUUGAUCAUGUCUUGCAACUUGCGUGGACCAUUGCAGCGACAUACGACUAGUAACAAUGGUUACCAGUGACAGGUUCUGCUAUUUCGAUAGAUACCUUGUCACUUUCGGGACGUGUGAGCCCUAAGUGUAACCCCUUGUCUCUAGCAUUUCCAUUCAAUCAUAACAACAAUCUCAUUUCGGUUUAAUAUUUAAUUUAUUCAAAAGAAACAUCUUACAUUUUGUUUAAUUUUAAUAGAAAAUCGAAUAAAAUAAUUAUGAAGUCUUCAAUAUUUUACAUUUAGUUCCACUCGCAUCCACAAAUUCUAACAACUGUAUUUAAACCACUCAUGCCCUUAGUCCUAAAAUAAAUGUCACAAAGACCUAAGUGAAUACAAUAAAUCGGAAAAUGGUAAGAAGAAAGUACUGAAUACAUUACCUCUUGCACCACGCUCAAGAUCAUAAAUUCGCCUUUUCUUGGAUUUGAAAUCCAAAUCUCCUUGUUAAAAAACAUUAACCAAUCCUUAGUCAAACAAUUUGAUUAAGGGCUUACACCGAAUAUGUUUUCUGUUAUUGAUUAUAGUUUUAUAUAGAAGAGUAAAUUGGCUCAAAAUACAUAAAACAUCUUAUGUUUUAUACAAAUGUGGCGGUAUAAAACAUAAACACUAACUACGCUAAGAGAUGUACAAAACGAAUAUAAAAGCCCAAAUUGUAAAGGACUGAAGCCCAAGAUAUGUGUUAGACAAGACUACUGGUGUGUAACACAAUGAUAGUCCACUCGAACCAAACUUUAACAAAUUGAGAACGAGAACAAGCUUUCGAUUACGAUUCUAGUGCAGUAAAGCUGAUCAAGGAACUGGGAACUAAUUAAAAACAACUUGUCUGACUCAUAAGAAGCAACGCUUCAAAUUUUAGGUAAAACAAAGUGCUAAAUGCUUGCCUUAACUUUAUUUUAUUUUAUUUUUUACGGCAAACGGCUAUUCUAUUACUCAAACUUGAGGUGGUUUGGGGAGCCAGACCGGAAUAGAACAACCAAUAAAACAUAAGGAUCUAUGAAAAGAACGUGCAUUCCUAGCUAAAGAGUCAGCAAUCUCAUUCUGCGUCCUUGGAAAGUAGCUGAUGUUGAAGUCCGAAAAACAUAACCGAAGAGUUUGAAUGAUUUCCAGCUCAGUUGAGAAGUUGGAUCAAUCUUGUGGUUGCUCUAACAUUGCAAUCAAAUCUUUGCAGUCCGUCCCAAACCUCUGACAGGUCGAGUGUUGAAUCAUACUCUCCAUUGCCCACUUUAGCGCUUCCAGUUCCGAGUGUAGAGCUGUCUCCCUCCUCUGCAAGUUCCUUGACCCCAUGAGCUGUAUCUUCCCCAAUGUAUCCUUCCAAACCCAUCAUAUUCCACUAAACUUAGCUGUGGAGGUCCAUGAACCAUCCACAAUACAAAUAUUAUUCAAACUUAAGGCUUGUGUUUCUUCAUUAGUUUGUACAUUUGGCAGAUUCGGUAUAGUAUCUCUUGUAUUAUACCAAGCUUGGCACUCUCCCUCUGCAUACCUAACUAGCUCCAGUGGGUCUGAUUUCUUAUAGUUUAUUCUAAUUUGAUAUUCUUGAGCUUCAGUUUUGAACCAGCAUAGGCGGGAUACUCUGUUCAUGUCUGAAGAAAUUAUUUGGAUCAACCUUUGUUUUAACCUUCACCAACCUUUCGAAAUUUCCUUUGAAGUAACUAGCUCCCCAGACUUGAGCUUGGUUGAUGGUCGACUUACAGCCCUUUUUGUUCUAUCCAAGGUCUAGAUCACGGUAGUUCACGUAGGCUUGUCGUGGAUUCGCCGAGACAUAAGGAGUCAUGAAACUGUAGAGAUCUCUGAUCCAUUUGAUGUGCCUGCUUGCUCUCCUGUCACUGAGGCCAAUUCGUUACGUACUGAAUCUUGAAU